UUGCAUGUGGAAAUGUCUACUCCUCAUUUGUUUGUGAGCAGGAAUACAUUCAUGGCAUGCUACAUUAAAAAAGGAGUUCUCAGGGCUGCCAACCUUACAGUAGAGGUUGAGUGAUAGUAUAUUUCUCCUACUGAA
RNAcentral lists this small nucleolar RNA (135 nucleotides) under Propithecus coquereli (Coquerel's sifaka). Its description in RNAcentral is "Small nucleolar RNA U109 (ENSPCOG00000005456.1)". It matches the Rfam family "Small nucleolar RNA U109". The record is from Rfam by way of RNAcentral. Lineage: Eukaryota; Metazoa; Chordata; Mammalia; Primates; Indriidae.